UUCGGAGCCCACCGGCUGCUGAGGGGAGGAGGCGAAAGGAGGGGGUUGGGAGUCCACCGGCAUUGGGUCGGGGCAGCAGGGACUUCAGGCGGCGGCGUGGGGGGCUAGAUCCGGAGGAGAGGGGAGGGGUGGCGGGGGUCGGAGGAGCACGCAGGGCGGAGGGGUGUGGGGCUCUUUAAGAGCCACACGGCUAGCAGGAGAGGCGUGCGGCCCUGUGCUGGUAGCGCACUGACCCCGAAGGGGAUUUAGCGGGAAGGGAGCGACCGGGUUCUGGGGGCUUUGUCCGGGGGCGCCCAGAAAGGCCGAGGCACAAGAAUAAGAAGCGGCUGCAGCGUGAAAGGCUGCGAGGAGCGGCGGCGCUGCUGCUCUUGACUUCUGAGCAGGGCUUAGAAGGCCUGCCCCGGCUUAAGCUGAACUGAGGGUGCAGAGUCCUGAACGCCGAGUUCACGAGCCCUGAGUCCUGGCCUCUAGGCUGAGGAGGCGUGGGAUAGGGGCGGACGCUGGAGUAGUGGGUCUUCUUGCGACAACCCCUUCGUGGAUCUUACAGCCUUGCUACCCUAGCGCAAGGUUGUUAGCCUAGCCCGCCGCGUCUGGCAUAGCCAAAGAAAUUUACUUUCCCAGCUUGGCUUUUGCUUUUGUGUGUCCACCUCGAGCAGAUCCGGAGCUGGCCGACCCCAGACUGAUUCUCAACAGGUGGCUGGCGAUCAGAGGAGAAUGGCCAGGCUGAGGGGGAAGCGAGGAACAUAUGGGCCCAAGUAGGAUCCUGAAAGAAUUUCGAGAUGCUCCGAGCCCAAAUCAUACAGGCUCUAAGUAUUGGUCAAUAACCAGGAGUGAAACAGAAACUUAGACCACACACUCAAGUCCUUCUUUCUGAAUGAGGGGCUCCAGUGCUAGGCCACAAGUGGCCGCUAUGGACGCUGCAUCAUGGAGUCUCACCUGGUCCCUCCUUCAACCACGCACCUCAGACGGCAAGGAGAGCUAGAUGAGAAGGAGCUGGGGCUCUUGCGAUCUGCAGAGGCAGCACGCUGGUCAGGAGGAACCCAGAACACCUGCCUCAGACACAGCCAGUUUGUCCACACACAAAAGGCAGGGACCCUCAGGGCUGAGGGGCUAUUAAGUCAAACCUGGAGUCACAGCCCCAAUGUCCUCAGACGGUCCCCAACCCUCUGCAGCAAUGUGGACAGUGUGCCUGAAAAGCUUCUUCUCUGAGCUUUAACAACUUUCUGGUGUAACUUCUGAGAGGGCUGAUUGCUUAUUCAUGUGGAAGCAAGACGCCCAGUCCGUUUUGCCUGUUUUUGCUACUCUUUGUUGUCUCGGGGGGAGUGUUAUGGUAGCUGCAAAUGGCUUCUCCAGUGACAUUUGCUGACAUUCAGUGAAGUACAUUUAUCAGCGCUUGCGAGCUCACCUCCGCACAUGCAAUCCAUUUUGUUUUGUUCUUCAUGGUAACCCCCUUCCCAACACCCGUGCCCUGAAAAUGAUGAAGGGCAGGCGGCGCAUUUCUCAAGCUGCACUCAAAUGUCACUGUGAAAAAUCUUUAAUGGACUAAGUGUAGCUUUUCACGUUACAACUUGUCAGGUACUGAGAAAUUCUAGAGUUUCUCCUUAAUCCACGAGUCAUUGGAACCACACAUCUGCAGGUAGACUAAUUAUAAGCUGUACCAGUCAGAACCGGGCAAGCAGAGACCAAGGAGAACACAUUCGCUAUCAGUUAAUUUUUUAUUACUAUCAUUAUUAUUAUUAUUCUCAUUCCACUUCAUCUCCUACUCAGAAUAUGCUAGGUAUGAGCAAUGUGUUACUCUAAUUAAUUGAGUGACAGCCCCCAACUAGCUCUCCAUGCAGGCUUACAGUCUCUACGCACUCAGCUUUCCCAGUAACGUUUUUCAUCUUUCCCUCCAACGUAGCUGACUCUGAAUCAUAGUCCUGGUCCCUUAGGGUUGGCCAUGACGGAGCCGCCGAGAGGAACUGAGAUGUGUCCCGUCUCCUGUCCACCUAGUUAUCCCUCAUCGGAGGACAUGGCAUUGGAGCCAAGGGACUCACAUCACCAAUGUGUAAGCCUGCAUUUUCCUCCCCGCACCUGGUCGGAGCAGUGCCACCCACACUCACAGUGGUGGCCUACAGACUCCCUCUAAGCCUUGCAUAGGGGUUUGCUAGGUCUGGUUUUAGCCCCUUUGAAAGGACUCAGCUCAGUGGCUGUUCUUCAUGGGUGAAUCAGCCCACACUCUACUGGCCAUGGCUUCUAUGUUCUGCCCCUGCUUCUCGGUUCUCAGGCAGGAACCUCAUCACCCAUGUGUUACUGUUACGAUGGGUUCUCUGGAAUGCUGCUAGCUCAUUCAGGUGAGACCAUCAUCAUCAUCACCAUCAUCAUCAUCAUCACCAUCAUCAUCAUCAUCACAUUCUAUUUAUAUGAGCACACUGUAGCUGUCUUCAGACACACCAGAAGAGGGCAUUGGAUCCCAUUACGGGUAGUUGUGAGCCACCAUUACUCACAAUUGCUGGGAACUGAACUCAGGUCCUCUGCAAGAGUAGUCAGUGCUCUUAACGGCUGAGCCAUCUCUUCUCCAGUGCUGCAGGUGGAAUUUUAGGAGCAAGCUUCAGAGAGAUAUCUUGUUCCCUUCCACAAUGUAAACUAGAAAGUAGGAUCUCGCAAACAUGGACUCUGCCGGGCUGGUGACCUUCAAACUCUCGGCUUCUAGAACUGUUCACAAUAAAAUUCUGUUCCUUAUAAGGUA
RNAcentral lists this long non-coding RNA (2728 nucleotides) under Mus caroli (Ryukyu mouse). RNAcentral describes it as "lncRNA (MGP_CAROLIEiJ_G0013489.1)". Lineage: Eukaryota; Metazoa; Chordata; Mammalia; Rodentia; Muridae. The record is from RNAcentral.